AUGAGUCUCUCCGGUGCUGUGGGAUGGUGGGACGAGUGGCAGCUGCGCAUCCUCGUCCUCGCCAGCCUCUUCAUGCAGUACCUCCUCUACCUCUGUGUAUGGCUGCGCAGAUCUCCUUCCAUGUCUAGGAUGAGAGUGCUGGUGUGGAUCGUUUACAUAGGCAGCGAUGCCGUGGCGAUCUACGCCCUCGCAACCCUCUUCAACCGCCAGAAGCAGACAUUGGAUGGGGGGAGCACCGCCCUGGAGGUUCUAUGGGCGCCUGUCCUCCUCAUCCACCUCGGCGGCCAGCCAUUCAUAAGUGCCUACAGCCUCGAAGACAAUGAGCUAUGGAAACGGCAUACCAUAACCCUGGUGUCUCAGGUCACGGUUGCCUUGUACGUCUUCUGCAAGUGGUGGUCGGGCGAGAAGAGGUUGCUGGCAGCAGGGGUCUUACUCUUUCUAUUUGGCAUCCUCAAAUUCGCCCAGAAGCCAUGGGCCCUCAGGACCGCCAGCUUUAACAGCAUGCCGGCUUCGCUUCAAGUGGAACAUAAAGGGCGGACAUAUUCGCUUGAAGAAUAUGUACAAGAUGCAAAGAAAUGUCUACUGGACACGGAGAUGUCCGGGGGAAGGUAUGGGCUUAGAUCACUAAGCAAUUAUAUGUUUGUUGAUCGGUCUGUUCCAUACUCUCUUCGGAUUAAAGUCCUGUCAGGAUUUAUGCAUAGUAAAUAUGAGUAUGAAUACAAAGAGUUGCGGUCUAGGCUUGGAGAUACAUUCAGUAUGCUGUACACCAGAGUACAAUCCUUUGGCACUAUAUAUGGGUCCGGCUUCAUGUUUUUUCUUCCAUUCCUGGCCUUAUCUUCUAUAGUGCUUUUGGCCACGAGCCGCAAGGAUGGCCACGAGGAGAAGGACAUCACGGUGACAUACAUCCUAUUCUGUUUCACCGCCAUGCUGGAGUUCCUGCUUCCCUGCAUGGUUUUGUCCUACAUGAUUUUGGCCCAGUGCAUUUCAUCUUUCAGUGCGGGGUUCCUUAUGAAGCAUUUUGAAGGGUGGCACGACAUGGUAUCUCAGUGCAACAUCAUGUCCUUCUGUGUUCGCAAGAAGAAGCCCACAUUCUUGAUGAAGCUUGCUGCCUUCAACUUUCUAAGGGAGUUUGUCAACCAACAUUGGUAUAUUAAAAAAGAAGCUAGAGCCUACCAAAUCACGGGGGUGGUUCGCCAGCACGUGGAAGAUGGCUGGAAGAAUUACAUAUGUGGCGCCGAAAGUUACAGGAAAUUCAAUGAGCUUCGAGGCCAGUGGGCUCUAAGAAGACACAAGCAAAUAGGGUGGAGCUUGAAGAUGAAUUUCGACAAGAGCGUCCUCCUCUGGCACAUUGCCACGGACCUCUGCUUUUACCACCCCAACACAUCCCAUCAAUGUCGUCAACAAGCAGAAGCCACAUUGCGCAGCAGGGAGAUAUCCAACUAUAUGAUCUACCUGCUUCUCAUCCGUCCUGAGAUGCUAAUGCUCGGCAGUAGAUCGGAUCUCUUCACCAUGGCCAGCAACCAAAUUGGCAAGGACAUGACAGAAGAAAUUCUUGCAGGGGAGAUUCUUAGCAUGCCCCCAUCUUCAGAUAAUAUGAUUUCCGACGCACGUAGGCUCGCCCAAGAACUGAUGGUGCUGGAUAGUGAGGAAGAUAGGUGGAUAGUGAUCCAAGGUGUGUGGGUUGAGAUGCUCUGCUAUUCCGCCAGCAGGUGCAGGGGGUACCUACAUGCCAAGAGCUUGGGUGAUGGCGGGGAGUGUCUCACCACUAUCUGGCUCCUCUUGGCGGUGAUGGGGAUGGAGACCUUGGCGGACAGGAAUCACAGGCCAAAGUUUCAGGACGAAGAAGAGAAAGUAGAAGAAAUAGAAUUAGAAGAAGCACUUCCCGUCAACAAGAAGGAUGAGAAGAAGAAUCACAUACUUCCUUCCUGUUCCCAAGGCAGAGCCGGUCACCCCGCUCACGACGACCGCCUAGUCUAA
RNAcentral lists this ribosomal RNA (1977 nucleotides) under Triticum aestivum (bread wheat). RNAcentral describes it as "partial small subunit ribosomal RNA". The record is from RNAcentral. Lineage: Eukaryota; Viridiplantae; Streptophyta; Magnoliopsida; Poales; Poaceae.